AAAGUGGCGGCGUGCUAUACAUGCAAGUCGAACGCACAGCGAAAGGUGCUUGCACCUUUCAAGUGAGUGGCGAACGGGUGAGUAACACGUGGACAACCUGCCUCAAGGCUGGGGAUAACAUUUGGAAACAGAUGCUAAUACCGAAUAAAACUUAGUGUCGCAUGACACAAAGUUAAAAGGCGCUUCGGCGUCACCUAGAGAUGGAUCCGCGGUGCAUUAGUUAGUUGGUGGGGUAAAGGCCUACCAAGACAAUGAUGCAUAGCCGAGUUGAGAGACUGAUCGGCCACAUUGGGACUGAGACACGGCCCAAACUCCUACGGGAGGCUGCAGUAGGGAAUCUUCCACAAUGGGCGAAAGCCUGAUGGAGCAACGCCGCGUGUGUGAUGAAGGCUUUCGGGUCGUAAAGCACUGUUGUAUGGGAAGAACAGCUAGAAUAGGAAAUGAUUUUAGUUUGACGGUACCAUACCAGAAAGGGACGGCUAAAUACGUGCCAGCAGCCGCGGUAAUACGUAUGUCCCGAGCGUUAUCCGGAUUUAUUGGGCGUAAAGCGAGCGCAGACGGUUUAUUAAGUCUGAUGUGAAAGCCCGGAGCUCAACUCCGGAAUGGCAUUGGAAACUGGUUAACUUGAGUGCAGUAGAGGUAAGUGGAACUCCAUGUGUAGCGGUGGAAUGCGUAGAUAUAUGGAAGAACACCAGUGGCGAAGGCGGCUUACUGGACUGCAACUGACGUUGAGGCUCGAAAGUGUGGGUAGCAAACAGGAUUAGAUACCCUGGUAGUCCACACCGUAAACGAUGAACACUAGGUGUUAGGAGGUUUCCGCCUCUUAGUGCCGAAGCUAACGCAUUAAGUGUUCCGCCUGGGGAGUACGACCGCAAGGUUGAAACUCAAAGGAAUUGACGGGGACCCGCACAAGCGGUGGAGCAUGUGGUUUAAUUCGAAGCAACGCGAAGAACCUUACCAGGUCUUGACAUCCUUUGAAGCUUUUAGAGAUAGAAGUGUUCUCUUCGGAGACAAAGUGACAGGUGGUGCAUGGUCGUCGUCAGCUCGUGUCGUGAGAUGUUGGGUUAAGUCCCGCAACGAGCGCAACCCUUAUUGUUAGUUGCCAC
RNAcentral lists this ribosomal RNA (1106 nucleotides) under Leuconostoc mesenteroides. Its description in RNAcentral is "bacterial SSU rRNA". It matches the Rfam family "Bacterial small subunit ribosomal RNA", at positions 32 to 1121 of the family's 1533-position model. Lineage: Bacteria; Bacillati; Bacillota; Bacilli; Lactobacillales; Lactobacillaceae. The record is from RNAcentral.